AUAAACAGUGGGACACAUUUCUGAAGAAAAUCCUUUUCCCGUUAUUAACAUCCUUGUUGUCUGACUUUAAACAUCCACACUGCGGUCUGUGCUCAGUGUCAGCUUUCCAGCCAGACUCUCCUCACAUCCUCGUCUUCCUGCAAGACAUCGCAGCUAACAUCAUGAUGCGCUCAGUCCUCAGUGUCUGUGUGAUGUUUCCUCUUCUACUACAAGGUUUGAAUGCAGAGUUGAAAGCCCACCUUGUGAAUGGAACUGCCCCGUGGAAUGGCCGCCUUGAGGUGUUGUACGACGGAGCAUGGCGCCCAGUGUGUGUUAAUAGGUUUAGGAAACAAGAGACACAGGUGGUCUGCAGGGAGCUGGGCUUCAACACGUCGCAAGUUUAUACCGCGUCGCUAUAUAUGUACGGUAUGAGAUACAAGAUCAACUUUCACGACCUGAGUUGUACAGGCGAGGAGACCAGCUUAGAUAAGUGUAACUAUACAGAGAUUAGAGAGGACUUCUUGUGCCUCUAUGUCGUUGCUAUCACCUGCAACUCAAGUAAGAAUCUGUUGUUUCUAUUCUGUUGUUUGCUGUGUCGCAUUGUGUAUCCUCAAAUGGAGAAAAAGAAACAUUGACACAUUUACCGUUUUUUAUGCAAGAAUUCCUUACAAAAGAGAUAUCAAGCAUGCAAGAAUAUCUAGAGAUUAGGUAAAACUCAUGAUGUACUUUCACAACAAUUAAAAUGUAAAGACUUAACAAUAUUGCAACGCAUCUUAAUUAUUUAAAUGAUUUUUGCCUUUUUGUUGAUAUAGAAACUGUUUUGUCUGCACAGAUACUGAAGUGGCAAUGUACAUAUAGACAAACUUAUAGAGAUAGUAAAUAUCUGACGGCUUGUUACAGAAAACAUAACAGUGCGAUUGAGUGUUAGGGUGCCAAGUAACAGACGUCAGCUAGAGAUAGACAUCGGAGUUAAUCAUUGGCAUACACUGUGUGUGUCGUCUAACAACACUGCCAGGGUCGUCUGUAGACAGCUCGGCUUACCAUGGCUUGGUGCGAGGACGUUUGUAAAUGAAGACAGGAUCUCUGGUGAUUUCUUAUCUUGCCUUGGGAAUGAGACUAGCAUCGCUGAGUGUCAGCAUGAGGUGUCUAGUGGCGGAUACUGCCAGUAUUACAACAUCAUUUGCAGUAACUAUAUUGUCAACAUCCAAACAAACAGUAGCAGAUAUCCUUUAAUGGAGGAAACAAAUGCUACUUUAAAGUGUGCGAGCAAUGAGCGGUCUGGUGUAAUAAAGUACACGUGGCCAGAAAAUG
This is a long non-coding RNA of Pomacea canaliculata, 1290 nucleotides long. RefSeq lists it as uncharacterized. NCBI's taxonomy places the organism in Eukaryota, Metazoa, Mollusca, Gastropoda, Architaenioglossa, Ampullariidae. The transcript is spliced from 5 exons. The record is from RefSeq and is a predicted model, not a curated record.